Molecule: non-coding RNA, 23 nt
Filed under: Pseudoperonospora cubensis
Lineage: Eukaryota; Oomycota; Peronosporomycetes; Peronosporales; Peronosporaceae
Source: RNAcentral
GGGAAUAAUAACAGAAUUGACAU